This is a long non-coding RNA of Jatropha curcas, 390 nucleotides long. RefSeq lists it as uncharacterized. The record is from RefSeq and is a predicted model, not a curated record. NCBI's taxonomy places the organism in Eukaryota, Viridiplantae, Streptophyta, Magnoliopsida, Malpighiales, Euphorbiaceae.
AUAGGAUCUCACUCCUCAAAUUCACAACACUCAAAGAAAAGAAACGAUGGGUAGAAGCUUUCAAAUUUUUGUCAUUCUUGUGAUGGUUGUUUUCAUCUUUAAAGGAAAUGAAGUGUUUGCAGCAACUAGACGCGUCUGUGCAAAGCAAUAUCCUCUUCGUAAUUGCACCGAUAAAUCAUGUAAUGAUUUGUGCGAGAAGAAUCAUGGCAAUUCUCGUGGGUUUUGCGCAUAUAAUGGUCCAUUAUACUGUGGCUGUUUAUAUCCCUGUGGAAAUGAGGAAAAUUUAAAAUAUUAAGUUCGAAGGGGCUAAAGUCUAAAUAAAAAGUUUUGAGAGGAUAUAUUUGUAUAACAAUAAUUUACAAUUUCAAUCCACCCUCAAAACUCUUUCCA